AGAGUUUGAUCAUGGCUCAGGAUGAACGCUAGCGGCAGGCCUAAUACAUGCAAGUCGAACGAGAAGUUUUUCUUCGGAAAAGCGGAAAGUGGCGCACGGGUGCGUAACGCGUAUGCAACCUACCCUUUACUGGGGGAUAGCCCGGAGAAAUCCGGAUUAAUACCCCAUGGUAUCACAAGAUGGCAUCUGAAAGUGAUUAAAGAUUUAUCGGUAAAGGAUGGGCAUGCGUGACAUUAGAUAGUUGGUGAGGUAACGGCUCACCAAGUCCACGAUGUCUAGGGGUUCUGAGAGGAUGAUCCCCCACACUGGUACUGAGAUACGGACCAGACUCCUACGGGAGGCAGCAGUAGGGAAUAUUGGUCAAUGGGCGAGAGCCUGAACCAGCCAUGCCGCGUGCAGGAAGACGGCCUUCUGGGUUGUAAACUGCUUUUAUAUGGGAAGAAAAGGCCCUUGCGAGGGACAUUGCCGGUACCAUAAGAAUAAGCACCGGCUAACUCCGUGCCAGCAGCCGCGGUAAUACGGAGGGUGCAAGCGUUGUCCGGAUUUAUUGGGUUUAAAGGGUGCGUAGGCGGACUUUUAAGUCAGUGGUGAAAUCCUGCAGCUAACUGUA
RNAcentral lists this ribosomal RNA (610 nucleotides) under uncultured Bacteroidota bacterium. RNAcentral's name for it is "bacterial SSU rRNA". It matches the Rfam family "Bacterial small subunit ribosomal RNA", at positions 8 to 617 of the family's 1533-position model. The record is from RNAcentral. Lineage: Bacteria; Pseudomonadati; Bacteroidota.